This 405-nucleotide ribosomal RNA is filed under the name uncultured Spartobacteria bacterium. Its description in RNAcentral is "partial 16S ribosomal RNA". It matches the Rfam family "Bacterial small subunit ribosomal RNA", at positions 355 to 774 of the family's 1533-position model. Lineage: Bacteria; Pseudomonadati; Verrucomicrobiota; Spartobacteria. The record is from RNAcentral.
UCGAGAAUUUUUCACAAUGGGGGAAACCCUGAUGGAGCGACGCCGCGUGGAGGACGAAGGUCUUCGGAUUGUAAACUCCUGUCAUGCGGGAACAAGAAAGUGAUAGUACCGCAAGAGGAAGAGACGGCUAACUCUGUGCCAGCAGCCGCGGUAAUACAGAGGUCUCAAGCGUUGUUCGGAUUCAUUGGGCGUAAAGGGUGCGCAGGCGGCGUGGAAAGUUGAGUGUGAAAUCCCGGGGCUCAACCCCGGAACUGCACUCAAUACUCCCAUGCUAGAGGAAUGUAGAGGAGAGUGGAAUUCACGGUGUAGCAGUGAAAUGCGUAGAUAUCGUGAGGAAGACCAGUUGCGAAGGCGACUCUCUGGGCAUUUCCUGACGCUCAUGCACGAAGGCCAGGGGAGCAAACG